GUGCCAGCAGCCGCGGUAAUACCCGCGCCCCUAGUGGUGGUCGAUAUUACUGAGCCUAAAACGUCCGUAGCCGGUCUUUUAACUCCUUGGGUAAAUCGGGCAGCUUAACUGUCCGAAGUCCGGGGAGACUGGGAGACUUGGGACCGGGAGAGGUCAGAGGUACUUCUGGGGUAGGGGUAAAAUCCUGUAAUCCUGGAAGGACCACCGGUGGCGAAGGCGUCUGACUAGAACGGAUCCGACGGUGAGGGACGAAGCCCUGGGGCGCAAACGGGAUUAGAUACCCCGGUAGUCCAGGGUGUAAACGCUGCGGGCUUGGUGUUGGGGGUCCUUAGUGGGCGCCCAGUGCCGGAGAGAAGUUGUUAAGCCUGCUGCGUGGGGAGUAUGUCCGCAAGGAUGAAAGUCAAAUGAAUUGGCGG
RNAcentral lists this ribosomal RNA (416 nucleotides) under uncultured bacterium. Its description in RNAcentral is "bacterial SSU rRNA". It matches the Rfam family "Archaeal small subunit ribosomal RNA", at positions 455 to 871 of the family's 1478-position model. The record is from RNAcentral.